UCUGGUCUUUACCGUGUUUGCUGAUUAGUAUCCUUUAAAGCCCCUUUGUUAAUGUCAUUUCUUCGUUAUUCUGUAAGUACAGAGGAUCACGACACAAAUGCGGUCCCAGGGCCCUCUAUCCCUUAACUAUGAGGACUUGGACAACAUGCAAGGUCUUGCCAUAUAAUCUGGAGUUGAAGAAGAAUCUAAGGGUAUGAGUCAGAUAAACAUGUUUCAUAAAUUAUAUUUGAGUCACAAAGACUCCACAGCAGUGAGAAGAAUGGCACUGCUAGAGGAUUUUGGAGCAUUGUUAGCAAAGACAGUAUGUAGCGUACAGCUGGGACCAUCUACCGCUUUAUGUUUGUACAGUACUUAACGGUACAAGGAAUCACGUAAUGAUUGCUGCUGCCUUGUGAGUCGGGCUUCAUUGCAUACAUUUGUUCAGCUGCGGGGCUGAAGUGCUCAAAUCAGAUAGACAAAGGUAAGCGCUGUGCUGUUCAACCAUGACAAGUCUGACAUGCUUCUGUGCCUGUCUA
RNAcentral lists this long non-coding RNA (515 nucleotides) under Struthio camelus australis. Its description in RNAcentral is "lncRNA (ENSSCUG00000011426.1)". The record is from RNAcentral. Lineage: Eukaryota; Metazoa; Chordata; Aves; Struthioniformes; Struthionidae.